This is a long non-coding RNA of Pezoporus occidentalis (night parrot), 2849 nucleotides long. RefSeq lists it as uncharacterized. NCBI's taxonomy places the organism in Eukaryota, Metazoa, Chordata, Aves, Psittaciformes, Psittacidae. The transcript has 2 exons. The record is from RefSeq and is a predicted model, not a curated record.
UUUGCUCUGCGAACGCGGGGCCUGCAUCUCACACUUCAGUUUCGUUAUUAGUUUUGAACUCGUGGCAGUAAAAGCUUUUGAGAGCUGAAAAACCUCCCCACAAACCAGUCUUUGCUUGUAUCUGCUGCAGGACUUACCUAAGCACGUGUCAGAACACAAGCACUUCUCAAGCCAUGCCAGCUGACCAGUAAUACAAUUUUAACCGAGGUGAACACAGUUAAGACAAUGAAGAGGGCUUUGGAAUCAAGAUGUUUACACUUGGGACAGCUCAGAGUGGCUCAGUGCGAGCAUCGGCUCUGCUUGGAAACACAGCGCCUGGAAGGGCUUUGCGCAAGAGCAGCGGGUGGUGCUGGCCAAGCAGCUCCUGCUGCCCUGUCCUGCCCUUACAGCACAGCAGACACAGGAGAAAAAAUGUUUUGUAUGAAGAGACACCCCCGCCUCCCUCCCCCAAGAAGGAAGUUUCGUUCAGUGCAAUGAAUGUUUCUUGACUUAAACCCCUUCUGAACACGUCAAACAAAACCAGGUAAACACCUGCACUGAUGUUCACAUUUCACACCGUGAGAGCCAAUACAUUAUUUUCUUAAAAUUUACUGGAGGCUCUCUGAAGUACAGCACUCUUUAAUUUCUGAACAAAGCCUAGACCUUACGGUUCAGGUGGUGUCAAAUCCUCUGUUCUCCUGCACUUACGAUUUCAAGAAAUACAAAUGGUAAAUAAGUAUAGGUUGGAAUUAACUGAUUACUGAAGAACGCAAGAAUUGCACCUCUUAAGUGGGGGGCACUACUGCAAUGCAGUCAUCAUUAACUAACACCGCUCAGUUUCCACUACAGCCAGGAAGGCCAGCCCCUGCUCUGUUCAUCUUUCAGGCCCCAUCCUAAGCCAUGCUGAGUGCCUGCGACUGCAAAUGAUGGCAAAGGGCACUCGCUGGGGACUGGUCAAGGCCACAACAGGAUGCUUUCUGUUGGAGCCAAUUAUUCUGAUGUAACAAAAUUAGGGUUAAUCCAAGGAAUUCUUUAGCUGACUCACUAUUCAAGCAAAACUGAUCUGCAGGCUUGCUUCACCCAGCCAGAUGAAAUACAAAAGCAAGUGAUGGUUUGGGUUUUGGUGUGGUUUUUUUUUUUUCAUUUUCCUAAUCUAAGGGUUUUUUUUAACAGAGAGCAAGCAUCUUUCAAUUGAAGCAGCAGGUCAAUCAAUCAUUAGUGGCAACUCAAGUCUAGAUUACAUUUAAGUUACACAACUACAUCAAACUAGAGCAGACCAAGGAAUUCAUUUUGGGGAGUCAUCUUCCACCGCCACCUAUUUCAAUCAAAACCAAGCUGAUAAAAUAUUUAUCAUAGCUUAGUUUAAAAGAGAAACAGAUUUCUGUGUACAUUGCAACACUAUCUGCAUUUGACUGGAUCUGGCUUUGCAGCACCAGAAGGUUCCACAAGACAGAGAACAAUUCUGCCACUGCAAUUUCAGUCACUCUACCCCACGUCAUUAAGACUGAGCAAAAAACAAGUUUUCUUUUGUAUAACUAGACUGCAGUCUACCCCAGACUACGGCAGAACAUUCCCUUUUAACAGCAUUCUUUAAAUAUGAGGCAGUAUUCAGAAAAAAUUCUGAAGUAUUUAUGCAUCACUUCCUUCAUUACUAACUGUUGUAUAGAAACCUAAAGCUGGGUAUGUGUUGGAAAGCACUCCCCCCCGAAAAGCCCCCAAACACACGCAGCUUAUAGAAAGUAACCAGUUCUUUUUGAUGUCUGCUGCAGUGGUUCUGAAAUUAAUAUAAAUGGAUGUGUGACGUGCGAAUGGGAGAGCCUGGAACUAAUUCAGUUUUAUAGAAUACAAACCCUUCAGCAAUUGGGGUACCUAAUUAUUUUGAUGAUAGGUGAAGUUUUGCCUUGAUCACACAGUGCCCAGCUGUGAAUCUGUUUUAUGACAGAAAAUUUCACAGCAUGUAACUGGUCUUUAAAAUCACGCUGUAAACAUGCAAACACAUGGCACCACUAAAAUAAGCAUGUUUUAAAAAGCCCUUUUUCCUUUAAGCGUUCUUGAGAAGGGAGGAAUGCAAAGGAAGAAAAAGGGAGGUAAGCAAUGCUACAAAUAGAUUUCGUUUACUGUCUAAUGCUUUUAACAUACUUCUGAUCUAUAAAAAGCUCAACUACAUUUUUUCAGAACAGUUCACUUUUUUAAAGAAACUAAAAGAGAUGGAUUGAAUUAUUUCACUCUUCUUGGGGAUUAAUCUAAAAGUUGUUUCCUCUUCAUUGUUACUUGCACUACAGCUGUGCUCAAACUCCUUUUCAUUUAGAAAAAAAAGUUUACAUUUUGAGCCUGCGCACACCAUGGUUCCACAUUCCAACAGCUUCCUCCCAGUCCUCUGCCAGCAUCUGCUAUUGAAGACUAGUUCCAAUUUACAAUAAACAGCUUUUCCAGACCAGAACACUUGAAAUUCAGUCCUUCUUGACUGCUUUUCCCAUUCAAUCUCCCUAUUCACCAUUUCAAGGAGAAAACUGUUCUGCCAAUUAUUACACAUCUGGAAAAAAUGCAUGUAUAAGCUGAAAUGCUCUCAGCAGAAAGUUUCAGCUUUCUGCAUAUGGUCACAGCAGGAUUUUAUGGGCCACUGACCAGGCCCAAGUUUAAGUUUUCCCAUCUUUCUCCUCCCCCUCAUUUCUACCCCCACCCUAACCCUCUAAUUGGAAACCCAUAGCAGGUGCAAGCUGUCUGCCACUUUUUCCUCCGCAGGAACCUCAAGUAGUUUCUUCCUGAUAAAUGUUGGCCUUACACUCCGGUUGUAACUCACUAGGCUCUGCGCUAAGUCAAAUGCAUCAGCUGAAGCUGUUAUACAUAAAAAUACACAUUUAAAAAUACCA